GUUAGAAUGUUUGUUGAAGAACAGCUAGGAGGCAGUGUAGCUGGAGGGGAUGAAGCUAAGGGGAUACUUGUAGGAUAUGAAGUCACACAGUUGAUGACACAAGUGGGGCCAGAUAUGUCAAGCUUUCCAAGACAUUUCGAAAACCGUUACUCUGAGUAAAAUGGGAGCCAUUGCAGAGUUUCAGGCAGGACUUGGACUGGCCCUGAUCAGGUUUGGCCCCAUGACAGGAAGACUGAAGUUCCAGCCCCCUCCCUUGUGACCUUUGGAUGCUUCACAGUCCAGCUCUGAACCUGCUUUCAAAUGGAGAAAGUCUGCCAUACUCUCUGGAACAGAGAGAGAGAGACAGAGAAAGAGAGAAAGAAAGAAAGAAAACCAGUUCCAGCUCUCCCUCCCUGUGUGGUCCAGGCCGCAAACACCUGGUUCAGGGACUACCUUGCGAAAGGAAAAGCCAAUUUACCAUUAAACAUUCAAUAAAGAAAAGACAACAAAGAAAAUCCUCUUGUAAUCACAUUGCAUGCUCAAGACACCUUUCAUGAAGAGAAAUGCAAUCACAGUGGAACAGUGGGCUGGGAUACCAAACAAAAGCUUGAAAUGUGAAAAAGGAAAAAAAAUCUAUCUUGUCAGCACAUCAGCAAAAUUGGAUAAAAGUUGCCGUAUAGUGACAGGUAGAAAACUUGGAGUGUAAAUGAAAGACAAAACAUCAGCUCCAGUGACGGGAGAAGUAGACUAAUCUUUGUGAACACCUACUUCGCGUCUGCAUGUUAUCUACGCUGUCCUUCCAAAUUCUACCAACAAGACGCUAUUAUUCCUGUUUUCUAGACAACAACACUGAUACUUAUGGAGGCGAAAUUCUUGCUUGAAAUGACUGCAGUUAACGAUGGCAGAUUCCACUUUUGAAACCUUGUCUAUCUGACUCCCACUCUACGUUCUUUCCACUAUGAUGUAUUGCCUCCAUGGGAACUAAUAGUCAUUCUGGUCUUAUGGGGCAACCAGCAAUAGCUACAAGACAUAUAGCAGGAGCAUGCUCAGAAGAUGGAAACCUUCUUCUCAGAUGACCUCGAGCUGUCUAAGAACCAAAAAUUCCCAAACUACAGAACUCAAUGUAAAGAGAAAGCAGAACAGGGAAUCUAAUAAGAAACGAGGGGCCCCUUGCUUUGUAGCACAUCAGACUUAUAAGACUGUUACACUCUCAUCCCCCAAUCAGAUUCCACCAAGUUAACAUUUGUAUAACCACUCCCACUCCCAACUCCUUAAAAGUCUGUCCCUGCUCAGCUUGGGGAGAUAGACUUGAGCCUUGCCUCCUGUCUCUUUGCAGGUCCACCAUGCAAUAAAGCUCUUUCAUCUCUCAAAAGCUA
Molecule: long non-coding RNA, 1355 nt
Filed under: Equus caballus (horse)
Lineage: Eukaryota; Metazoa; Chordata; Mammalia; Perissodactyla; Equidae
Description: lncRNA (ENSECAG00000031657.3)
Source: RNAcentral